AUACGUAGGGGGCGAGCGUUGUCCGGAAUUACUGGGCGUAAAGGGUGCGUAGGCGGCCGAUUAAGUCAGAUGUGGAAUACCAGGGCUCAACCCUGGGGGUGCAUUUGAAACUGGUUGGCUUGAGUGCAGGAGAGGAAAGCGGAAUUCCUAGUGUAGCGGUGAAAUGCGUAGAGAUUAGGAGGAACACCAGUGGCGAAGGCGGCUUUCUGGACUGUAACUGACGCUGAGGCACGAAAGCGUGGAGAGCAAACAGGAUUAGAUACCCUGGUAGUCCACGCCGUAAACGAUGGAUACUAGGUGUAGGGGGUUAUGAUACCCUCUGUGCCGGAGUUAACGCAAUAAGUAUCCCGCCUGGGGAGUACGGCCGCAAGGUUGAA
This 377-nucleotide ribosomal RNA is filed under the name uncultured bacterium. RNAcentral's name for it is "bacterial SSU rRNA". It matches the Rfam family "Bacterial small subunit ribosomal RNA", at positions 523 to 898 of the family's 1533-position model. The record is from RNAcentral.